Molecule: non-coding RNA, 74 nt
Organism: Cucurbita pepo subsp. pepo (vegetable marrow)
Lineage: Eukaryota; Viridiplantae; Streptophyta; Magnoliopsida; Cucurbitales; Cucurbitaceae
Source: the annotation of a RefSeq genome assembly
GUCUGGGUGGUGUAGUUGGUUAUCACGCUAGUCUCACACACUAGAGGCCCCCAGUUAGAACCUCGGCCCAAACA